AGAAUAUCCUAUGCCUGGUGCUGCUCUGCAAAUGAAUAUAGUAUAGUUCCUAUUCUCUGUAUAACAUAUUUGGUGGCUAGGUGCUUCCUCUGCUCAGUUGGAGAUCUUUUGUUCCAGAUUCUGUGUUAAACAGGUUGUGAGUAGAUAAUGUGAGAGACACAGUACAUGAAUGACAGCUGUGAAUGCAACAUAAUUAUUUUGAGUACGCUAGUAACUUCUUUCUUGCUUGUAAACACCAG
This is a non-coding RNA of Pelobates cultripes (western spadefoot toad), 239 nucleotides long. The record is from the annotation of a GenBank genome assembly. NCBI's taxonomy places the organism in Eukaryota, Metazoa, Chordata, Amphibia, Anura, Pelobatidae.